AACGAACGCUGGCGGCAGGCUUAACACAUGCAAGUCGAGCGAGACCUUCGGGUCUAGCGGCGGACGGGUGAGUAACGCGUGGGAACGUGCCCUUCUCUACGGAAUAGCCCCGGGAAACUGGGAGUAAUACCGUAUACGCCCUUUGGGGGGAAAGAUUUAUCGGAGAAGGAUCGGCCCGCGUUGGAUUAGGUAGUUGGUGGGGUAAUGGCCCACCAAGCCGACGAUCCAUAGCUGGUUUGAGAGGAUGAUCAGCCACACUGGGACUGAGACACGGCCCAGACUCCUACGGGAGGCAGCAGUGGGGAAUCUUAGACAAUGGGGGCAACCCUGAUCUAGCCAUGCCGCGUGAGUGAUGAAGGCCUUAGGGUUGUAAAGCUCUUUCAGCUGGGAAGAUAAUGACGGUACCAGCAGAAGAAGCCCCGGCUAACUCCGUG
This 434-nucleotide ribosomal RNA is filed under the name uncultured bacterium. RNAcentral's name for it is "partial 16S ribosomal RNA". It matches the Rfam family "Bacterial small subunit ribosomal RNA", at positions 29 to 507 of the family's 1533-position model. The record is from RNAcentral.